CCCCAGAUGUUGCUGAACUACAACUCCCAUGAUUCUCUGGCUAUCUAUGUAAUUCAAAGAAUCAUGGGAGUUGUAGUUCAGCAACAUUUGGGGGGCUGGAGUUUGAGGACCCAUGGUGUAGAUACAUACAUGCAGACACGGAUACAACCACUGACAACACUGAAAUUCAUGCAGCUGCACUGGCACACAUACGGUUACAGACAUGCAUGUAAAUAUAGACAAUGAUACACAUGGAAAUAGACACACAAAAACACUUCCCAAAUGUAAAGAUUUUUUUUUUUUAAUCUGGCCUGAGACAAAUGUUUACAAAAAUGGCACCAAACCAGGACUAACAUCUAUGCAUGUCACCAGUGCUAUAUUAUUUAAAGGGCUUAGAGUCACCAAAACAACUUAAGCUUAAUAAAGCAGUAUUGGUGUGUAUAGUUCAUGCCUCUGAAGUUUCACUCUUCAAUUAUCUGCCAUUUAGGAGUUCACUUUUGUUUCUAUUUUUGCAGCCCUAGUCACGCCUCUCCUGACACAACCUACAUAAAAACUAAAUGGGUUUUCAAUUAGUGAUCUCCCACUCUGUAAAUUGAGCUUUAAUUACAUACAGAAGGCUGCUGCAGGGUCUAACAAGCUAUUAACAGUGUAGAAAGAAAUUCUAAAUUAAACAAUUUGCCAUAAAAUAAGUGUAAAUGCUAGAGUACUCUUUACAACAAGCAAGACAAACUCGCGGCCUGGCGAGCCACGAGUAUAUGCUUAGUGUUCCAAGCACAGUAGGCACCUGCUUUCUCCACAUUUCAGGUGCCUACUUUGCUAACAUUUACCCGGCUGGGGAGGAGAGGAGAGGAAGGUGGAUGCAGCGAGGGAGCUCAGCGUUCCUGCUAUUCACUGCUCAUUCGUGCCCUCUGUAGUGAUGCUGGACAUCACUAAACUGCGUGCGAGGGAGCAGUGAGGAGCAGGAAGGCUGAGCUCCAGAUUAGUCCCCACUGGACCCCAGGGAUAAAUACAAUAAUGUGAGUGUGUGUUGAUCAGUGUUGCGAUGGUCGUGGCUGGACAGUGGAGGUUCACGGAGGCACGCAGCGCCACGUCACAUUCCAACGUGACAAUGUGAUACACAUUCACAGGGUUUCAAGAAGUAGUGUGAGGAUCUUCUUUGGCACACGGUGUGGACGGCGCCAUUUGGGGUAUACCAUAGGCCAGAUCUAUAAAACAAAACUGCUUCAUUAAGUUCGUUAUUUUGGUAAUUAUAGUGUCCCUUUAAAAUCAGAAAAAAAAGUGUGCUGUGCCUUUAAAUCAUGAAUUCAAUUUUGUAUAAUCAAUUUACAAAUAAA
Molecule: non-coding RNA, 1313 nt
Organism: Pelobates cultripes (western spadefoot toad)
Lineage: Eukaryota; Metazoa; Chordata; Amphibia; Anura; Pelobatidae
Source: the annotation of a GenBank genome assembly